This 64-nucleotide transfer RNA is filed under the name Sycanus falleni. Its description in RNAcentral is "tRNA-Tyr". It matches the Rfam family "tRNA". Rfam says of the family: Transfer RNA (tRNA) molecules are approximately 80 nucleotides in length. Their secondary structure includes four short double-helical elements and three loops (D, anti-codon, and T loops). Lineage: Eukaryota; Metazoa; Arthropoda; Insecta; Hemiptera; Reduviidae. The record is from RNAcentral.
GGUGAAAUGGCUGAAAUUAGGCGAUAGAUUGUAAAUCUAUUUAUGGUUAGAUAACCUUUCAUCA